This 500-nucleotide ribosomal RNA is filed under the name uncultured bacterium. Its description in RNAcentral is "partial 16S ribosomal RNA". It matches the Rfam family "Bacterial small subunit ribosomal RNA", at positions 30 to 523 of the family's 1533-position model. The record is from RNAcentral.
AUUGAACGCUGGCGGCAUGCCUUACACAUGCAAGUCGAACGGCAGCACGGGUGCUUGCACCUGGUGGCGAGUGGCGAACGGGUGAGUAAUACAUCGGGACGUACCUUAUCGUGGGGGAUAACGCAGCGAAAGCUGUGCUAAUACCGCAUACGCCCUGAGGGGGAAAGCGGGGGAUCGCAAGACCUCGCGCGAUUAGAGCGGCCGAUGCCUGAUUAGCUUGUUGGUGGGGUAAAAGCCCACCAAGGCGACGAUCAGUAGCUGGUCUGAGAGGACGAUCAGCCACAAUGGGACUGAGACACGGCCCAGACUCCUACGGGAGGCAGCAGUGGGUAAUUUUGGACAAUGGGGCAACCCUGAUCCAGCAAUGCCGCGUGAGUGAAGAAGGCCUUCGGGUUGUAAAGCUCUUUUGUCAGGGAAGAAACAUCGGCUCUAACACAGUCCGGGAAUGACGGUACCUGAAGAAUAAGCACCGGCUAACUACGUGCCAGCCGCCGCAGUAA